RNAcentral lists this ribosomal RNA (254 nucleotides) under uncultured prokaryote. RNAcentral describes it as "partial 16S ribosomal RNA". It matches the Rfam family "Bacterial small subunit ribosomal RNA", at positions 525 to 777 of the family's 1533-position model. The record is from RNAcentral.
ACGGGGGGGGCAAGCGUUGUUCGGAAUUACUGGGCGUAAAGGGCCCGUAGGCGGCCAACUAAGUCGGAUGUGAAAUCCCCAGGCUCAACCUGGGAACUGCAUCCGAUACUGGAUGGCUUGAAUCCGGGAGAGGGAUGCAGAAUUCCAGGUGUAGCGGUGAAAUGCGUAGAUAUCGAGAGGAACACCUGAGGUGAAGACGGGUUGCUGGGCCGACACUGACGCUGAGUGCGCGAAAGCCAGGGGAGCAAACGGGA